UCAGUUUAGUUGGGCACUCUAGUCGAGACCUGCCGGUGACAAACCGGAGGAAGGUGGGGAUGACGUCAAGUCCUCAUGGCCCUUAUGGUAGGGCUUCACACGUCAUACAAUGGUCGGUACAGAGGGUUGCCAAGCCGCGAGGUGGAGCCAAUCCCUUAAAGCCGAAUCGUAGUCCGGAUCGUAGUCUGCAACUCGACUCCAUGAAGUUGGAAUCGCUAGUAAUCGCAGAUCAGCACGCUGCGGUGAAUACGUUCCCGGGCCUU
This 263-nucleotide ribosomal RNA is filed under the name uncultured Thauera sp. RNAcentral describes it as "partial 16S ribosomal RNA". It matches the Rfam family "Bacterial small subunit ribosomal RNA", at positions 1121 to 1382 of the family's 1533-position model. Lineage: Bacteria; Pseudomonadati; Pseudomonadota; Betaproteobacteria; Rhodocyclales; Zoogloeaceae. The record is from RNAcentral.